AGAAAAGCAGGGGAUCGCAAGACCUUGCGCUUUUGGAGCGGCCGAUGUCUGAUUAGCUAGUUGGUGAGGUAAAGGCUUACCAAGGCUUCGAUCAGUAGCUGGUCUGAGAGGACGACCAGCCACACUGGGACUGAGACACGGCCCAGACUCCUACGGGAGGCAGCAGUGGGGAAUUUUGGACAGUGGGGGCAACCCUGAUCCAGCCAUGCCGCGUGAGUGAAGAAGGCCUUCGGGUUGUAAAGCUCUUUCAGCCGGAACGAAAAGGUUACGGUUAAUACCCGUGACUAAUGACGGUACCGGAAGAAGAAGCACCGGCUAACUACGUGCCAGCAGCCGCGGUAAUACGUAGGGUGCGAGCGUUAAUCGGAAUUACUGGGCGUAAAGCGUGCGCAGGCGGUUUUGUAAGUCAGAUGUGAAAUCCCCGGGCUUAACCUGGGAACUGCGUUUGAAACUACAAGGCU
Molecule: ribosomal RNA, 461 nt
Filed under: uncultured beta proteobacterium
Lineage: Bacteria; Pseudomonadati; Pseudomonadota; Betaproteobacteria
Description: bacterial SSU rRNA
Rfam family: Bacterial small subunit ribosomal RNA
Source: RNAcentral